UACGGAAGGCAGCAGGGGGAAUAUUGCACAAUGGGCGCAAGCCUGAUGCAGCCAUGCCGCGUGUAUGAAAAAGGCCUUCGGGUUGUAAAGUACUUUCAGUCGUGAGGAAGGUGUUAAGGUUAAUAACCUUAGCAAUUGACGUUAGCGACAGAAGAAGCACCGGCUAACUCCGUGCCAGCAGCCGCGGUAAUACGGAGGGUGCGAGCGUUAAUCGGAAUUACUGGGCGUAAAGGGCACGCAGGCGGUUAAUUAAGUUGGAUGUGAAAUCCCCGGGCUUAACCUGGGAAUGGCAUUCAAGACUGGUUAGCUAGAGUCUUGUAGAGGGGGUAGAAUUCCAUGUGUAGCGGUGAAAUGCGUAGAGAUGUGGAGGAAUACCGGUGCGAAGGCGGCCCCUGGACAAAGACUGACGCUCAUGUGCGAAAGCGUGGGGAGCAAACAGGGAUUAGAUACC
This 451-nucleotide ribosomal RNA is filed under the name uncultured bacterium. RNAcentral's name for it is "bacterial SSU rRNA". It matches the Rfam family "Bacterial small subunit ribosomal RNA", at positions 340 to 786 of the family's 1533-position model. The record is from RNAcentral.